Gorilla gorilla gorilla (western lowland gorilla) is the source of this 156-nucleotide small nuclear RNA. Its record names the gene U12. It matches the Rfam family "U12 minor spliceosomal RNA". From Rfam's summary of the family: Although the U12 sequence is very divergent from that of U2, the two are functionally analogous. NCBI's taxonomy places the organism in Eukaryota, Metazoa, Chordata, Mammalia, Primates, Hominidae. The record is from Ensembl.
AUGUCUUAAACUUAUGAGUAAGGAAAAUAACGAUUGUUAUUCGGGGUGACGCCCGAAUCCUCACUGCUAAUGUGAGACGAAUUUUUGAGCUGGUAAAGGUCGCCCCUAAGGUGACCAGCCUACUUUGCGGGAUGCCUAGGAGUCGCGAUCUGCCUG